RNAcentral lists this unclassified non-coding RNA (21 nucleotides) under Mus musculus (house mouse). RNAcentral describes it as "oocyte_clustered_small_RNA639". Lineage: Eukaryota; Metazoa; Chordata; Mammalia; Rodentia; Muridae. The record is from RNAcentral.
UCAUUGAUAUUUACAUAUUGG